UAAGAUGGCUGAGAUAGGCGGUGGUUUGUAGCCCCACAUACAAAGGUUUAAACCUUUUCUUAC
This 63-nucleotide transfer RNA is filed under the name Laimosemion kirovskyi. RNAcentral describes it as "tRNA-Tyr". The record is from RNAcentral. Lineage: Eukaryota; Metazoa; Chordata; Actinopteri; Cyprinodontiformes; Rivulidae.